Molecule: long non-coding RNA, 359 nt
Filed under: Homo sapiens (human)
Lineage: Eukaryota; Metazoa; Chordata; Mammalia; Primates; Hominidae
Description: HSALNT0176109
Source: RNAcentral
UCACCCUUCACCUUGGGACCUUUCAGAUGCAAAUCAAAGUCAGGCAUGGAGAUCUUGGGGGCUUUGAUGUUCAUCUCUGGCAUCUUGAAUUUAGGGCCCUUCAGUUUCGCAUCUGGACCUUCAAUAUUCACAUCUGGAACAUCAACGUCCACCUUGGGUCCUGAGACGUCAAGGUCAGCCUUGGGCAGGUUCACAUCCACAUCUGGGCCCUCUCCUUUGAAGCCAGGCAUGCUGAACUUGGGCAUUUUCACCUUGGGCAUCUUCAGGUGCCAAUCUGGGCCAUGAACAUCCACAUCUGGAGCACUAAUGUCAACUUUGGGCCCUUUAAUGUCAACAUCUGGCACUUUCAUUUCACCUUC